Long non-coding RNA from Drosophila montana, 626 nucleotides. RefSeq lists it as uncharacterized. The transcript has 3 exons. Lineage: Eukaryota; Metazoa; Arthropoda; Insecta; Diptera; Drosophilidae. The record is from RefSeq and is a predicted model, not a curated record.
UUCACGCCACGAAUAAAUCAAAAAUAUUUUUAACAACGUAUUUUCUUAUUGCUCACGAUAACCGAAAUUUGCAUGUUAAACAAGCGCAGUGUUGCCAGAAUUUAUUAAAGCGGCCACUUUCUUAUUCCUUUCAUUAAAUAUUUAAGACUCGGCUCAGAUCUGCCUGAUGAUCCAACACAAUGAAACAAAAACAAAUAACUAAGCACAACAUCUUAGAUAUAGAUGCAAUGCUAUAAAUAACCAAGUGACUAAAUCCAAUCGAAAUUAAUUCUGGAAUUGCAAGUCAAUUUUUUAUGCUGGGCCUUAGAAGAUGCUCAGCCUUCUGUUGGGCAACAAUGCCAAUGAACACACCCAUUUCGACAUCGACAACAACGUGGACAACAACAGCAGGAACGAGCGAGUCGUAUCUUGUGGACACACAUCUGGUAUCGGGCAGAACGUUUCCCAUUUGAAAUGUAAACAAAAACAAAACAUGCUGCCCGCACAUUUCGGACACAAACAAAAGGAAACGCCGCCUGCGAAGUCAUUAAAAGAUGCAGAUAAAACUGAAAACCGCACACAGUUCCAGUCGCCGUUCUGAGAGUUGAACUUCGUAUCUGUAUCUUUUGCUGUUCAUAGGUCUAUGU